CAAUAGCGUAUAUUAAAGUUGUUGCGGUAAAAAAGCUCGUAGUUGGAUUUCUACCGAAGAUAGCCGGUCGGGUCUUCGACCUUGUAUCUGGUUUUGUCUUUGGUAUCCUCAUAGGGAACGUUUCUGCGCUUUAUUGCGUGGUGCGGUAUCUAUGACUUUUACUUUGAGGAAAUUAGAGUGUUCACGGCAGGCAAACGCCUUGAAUAUAUUAGCAUGGAAUAAUAACAUAGGAUCAUCGUCCUAUUUUGUUGGUUUCUAGGGCUAAGAUAAUGAUUAAUAGGGAUAAUUGGGGGCAUCUGUAUCAACGCGUCAGAGGUGGAAUUCUUGGAUUGCGUUGCGACAAACUACUGCGAAAGCAUUUGCCAAGGAUGUUUUCAUUGA
This 381-nucleotide ribosomal RNA is filed under the name uncultured eukaryote. Its description in RNAcentral is "partial 18S ribosomal RNA". It matches the Rfam family "Eukaryotic small subunit ribosomal RNA", at positions 592 to 976 of the family's 1831-position model. The record is from RNAcentral.